Molecule: ribosomal RNA, 497 nt
Filed under: uncultured Comamonas sp.
Lineage: Bacteria; Pseudomonadati; Pseudomonadota; Betaproteobacteria; Burkholderiales; Comamonadaceae
Description: bacterial SSU rRNA
Rfam family: Bacterial small subunit ribosomal RNA
Source: RNAcentral
GAAGGCCYUCGGGUUGUAAACUGCUUUUGUACGGAANGAAAAGCCUGGGGCUAAUAUCCCCGGGUCAUGACGGUACCGUAAGAAUAAGCACCGGCUAACUACGUGCCAGCAGCCGCGGUAAUACGUAGGGUGCAAGCGUUAAUCGGAAUUACUGGGCGUAAAGCGUGCGCAGGCGGUUUUGUAAGACAGUGGUGAAAUCCCCGGGCUCAACCUGGGAACUGCCAUUGNGACUGCAAGGCUAGAGUGCGGCANANGGGGAUGGAAUUCCGCGUGUAGCAGUGAAAUGCGUANAUAUGCGGANGAACACCGAUGGCGAAGGCAAUCCCCUGGGCCUGCACUGACGCUCAUGCACGAAAGCGUGGGGAGCAAACAGGAUUAGAUACCCUGGUAGUCCACGCCCUAAACGAUGUCAACUGGUUGUUGGGUCUUAACUGACUCAGUAACGAAGCUAACGCGUGAAGUUGACCGCCUGGGGAGUACGGCCGCAAGGUUGAAAC